CUACAACAUCUACCCAUCUGUACUUAUGUCAUCUUCCUCAAGAUCUACAUAUAUAAUGAGAACGGUUUACGUGUUUGAAAGUCCCAAAGGAACAAAAAUUUUCAAAAGUGGCUAGGGAUUUGAUUUUUCAUUUGCCAUGUGACGUGGAAUCAAGGUUAGGUACCGGUGGAAUUGAAGAAACAAAGAUGUCACAACGGGGUGUUUGGCAGCUUCAGAAGCUGGUAGUCAGCUACUGUAACUGCGGUGGAAGUAGUAGGGGUAUCAGGUAUGUUAUAUAUAUAUAUAUAUAUAUGUGUGUGUGUGUGUGUCUUUAAAUAUGGUACCAUGGCUUAUUUUGUAGUCUAAUUUCUCUAUGAUUGGCAAAUUAGUGUACCCUUAUAAACCAUGCUUUCAUUGGAUCCAUAAUCUUCAACAUGUCAAAUUUAUGUAAAUAUAUAACCGCACGGUUUAGUAAGCCUUUUUAUGUGCAUUUUUCAGUAAAAAACCAUGAUGUCUUAGUUGAAGGGUGUAAUAUGGAGUCCAGAUGAUUCAUUGUUUGGUAUCUGGAGUUGAUUACGAGGCUCCUUAGGCUCUGCAUUGGACGAGGGAGAUGAAGUUGCUAAAUGGCUCACUUACUUCCGAAGGGAAACCAAGCCACUUAGUAAGCUUUAAUGAAGGUACAAUUCACCACAUAUUAUUAUAGGCUUCAAGCUGAUCUUUUACUUUAAUCAAGCUAUGAGGAUGGUAUUUGCUUACUGAUUAUUACAUGAUCCCUUAUUGGCUUAAGCACACAUAAAUCUACACCUCACUUUGUUUGUGUGCGAAGUAUAAAGCAAGAAAGGUAGCCAAGAAUGAACAACAAUAAGAAAGACUUUUGUAAGGUCAAGGCGUACAUAAAGCAACUCAACAUUUUUAACCACAACAAUAGAUAGGGGUUGUGAAUGUAUGUUUAUUGCGUGUAGUUAUCAUACAUUAUGUUUUAAUUUGGAAAGGCCUAUAAAAAAAUGAUGACCUACAUGGGGUUCAAUGCCGGUAGA
Long non-coding RNA from Helianthus annuus (common sunflower), 1016 nucleotides. RefSeq lists it as uncharacterized. The record is from RefSeq and is a predicted model, not a curated record. The transcript has 3 exons. Lineage: Eukaryota; Viridiplantae; Streptophyta; Magnoliopsida; Asterales; Asteraceae.